RNAcentral lists this ribosomal RNA (292 nucleotides) under uncultured Anoxybacillus sp. RNAcentral describes it as "partial 16S ribosomal RNA". It matches the Rfam family "Bacterial small subunit ribosomal RNA", at positions 1089 to 1382 of the family's 1533-position model. The record is from RNAcentral. Lineage: Bacteria; Bacillati; Bacillota; Bacilli; Caryophanales; Anoxybacillaceae.
GCAACGAGCGCAACCCUCGACCUUAGUUGCCAGCAUUCAGUUGGGCACUCUAAGGUGACUGCCGGCUAAAAGUCGGAGGAAGGUGGGGAUGACGUCAAAUCAUCAUGCCCCUUAUGACCUGGGCUACACACGUGCUACAAUGGGCGGUACAAAGGGUCGCGAACCCGCGAGGGGGAGCCAAUCCCAAAAAGCCGCUCUCAGUUCGGAUUGCAGGCUGCAACUCGCCUGCAUGAAGCCGGAAUCGCUAGUAAUCGCGGAUCAGCAUGCCGCGGUGAAUACGUUCCCGGGCCUU